RNAcentral lists this ribosomal RNA (326 nucleotides) under Thalassiosira punctigera. RNAcentral describes it as "partial Bacterial large subunit ribosomal RNA". It matches the Rfam family "Bacterial large subunit ribosomal RNA", at positions 481 to 810 of the family's 2925-position model. The record is from RNAcentral. Lineage: Eukaryota; Bacillariophyta; Thalassiosirophyceae; Thalassiosirales; Thalassiosiraceae.
UGACCGAUAGUGAACCAGUACCGUGAGGGAAAGGCGAAAAGAACCCCUGUGAGGGGAGUGAAAUAGAACCUGAAACCGUAUACGUACAAGCAGUGGGAGCAGACUUGUUCUGUGACUGCGUACCUUUUGUAUAAUGGGUCAGCGACUUAUAUUUAGUAGCAAGGUUAAGCGAAUAGCGGAGCCGUAGCGAAAGCGAGUGUUAACUGCGCGUUUAGUUGCUAGGUAUAGACCCGAAACCCGGUGAUCUAGCCAUGGGCAGGUUGAAGGUUGAGUAACAUCAACUGGAGGACCGAACCCACUAACGUUGAAAAGUUAGGGGAUGACUU